GGGCCGGUUGCUCAGUCAGUUGACCGUGGCGCUAACACCGCUAAGGGCGCGGGUUCGAUUCCCGUUCGGUCCC
This 73-nucleotide transfer RNA is filed under the name Apaloderma vittatum (bar-tailed trogon). It matches the Rfam family "tRNA". From Rfam's summary of the family: Transfer RNA (tRNA) molecules are approximately 80 nucleotides in length. Their secondary structure includes four short double-helical elements and three loops (D, anti-codon, and T loops). Further hydrogen bonds mediate the characteristic L-shaped molecular structure. tRNAs have two regions of fundamental functional importance: the anti-codon, which is responsible for specific mRNA codon recognition, and the 3' end, to which the tRNAs corresponding amino acid is attached (by aminoacyl-tRNA synthetases). tRNAs cope with the degeneracy of the genetic code in two manners: having more than one tRNA (with a specific anti-codon) for a particular amino acid; and 'wobble' base-pairing, i.e. permitting non-standard base-pairing at the 3rd anti-codon position. The record is from Rfam by way of RNAcentral. Lineage: Eukaryota; Metazoa; Chordata; Aves; Trogoniformes; Trogonidae.